This 440-nucleotide ribosomal RNA is filed under the name uncultured bacterium. RNAcentral describes it as "partial 16S ribosomal RNA". It matches the Rfam family "Bacterial small subunit ribosomal RNA", at positions 338 to 795 of the family's 1533-position model. The record is from RNAcentral.
CCUACGGGAGGCAGCAGUAGGGAAUAUUGCUCAAUGGGGGAAACCCUGAAGCAGCAACGCAGCGUGGAGGAUGAAGGUUUUCGGAUUGUAAACUUCUUUUGUUAGAGAAGAUAAUGACGGUAUCUAACGAAUAAGCACCGGCGAACUCGGUGCCAGCAGCCGCGGUAAUACGGAGGGUGCAAGCGUGACUCGGAAGCACUGGGCGUAAAGGGCGCGUAGGCGGGAUAGCAAGUCAGAUGUGAAAUCAUAUGGCUUAACCAUAGAACUGCAUUUGAAACUGUUAUUCUAGAGUAGGGGAGAGGUAGGUGGAAUUCUUGGUGUAGGGGUAAAAUCCGUAGAGAUCAAGAGGAAUACUCAUUGCGAAGGCGACCUGCUAGAACAUAACUGACGCUGAUGCGCGAAAGCGUGGGGAGCAAACAGGAUUAGAUACCCCUGUAGUC